AUUUGAAUUAACCACUGUCAAAGACUGUAGUGACACAGAUCAAAUGUCAAACAAUGUAGCCCAAGCCCAGCCCCCUUCUUUCAAAUCUAAAUUUAGCAAAUAUCUUUCAAUAUUACACUUUUCUCCUUUGAAACUUGAAGGCUUUGGGCAUUUAAGAAUCAGUGUUUCAGCUGCAAUGCUUCUGAGAGGAAGGGAGAUUUUCAAAGAGCCUUUGUCAGCCCAGGAGUGAGUGAGUUAAUCCAUCCACCUGCCCCAACUGAGAGCAGAAGACACUGUUUAUAGGACUGAAGACAGAGGUGCUGGGUGCAAGGACUGAGACUAAGAAUGGAAAUGCGAGAACCAGGAUUCAGGGGCGGAAUAAUGAGGAUGAUGUGGGCGGCCACUUCCUAAAGCAGAGACACCUGCGAGCGGCCCUGGCCACUAGGGCUGAAACCCGACCCUCCACGCAGGCAGAAGCGCCUGGCUCAUGGAGAGCCUAGUCCUCUGGCCAGGGCAUGUGUCACGAUGGAGGAAAAGAGACUCAAAGAGACCUUAGGCUGUUCUCAGAUGUCCAUGGCUGGCGAGUGGCAACGUUAGGACUAGAAACCCAGUCUACUGGCUCUCCUCCAACCUCUGCUUUUUCUGCAAUACCAAAUAUCCACAGGUUUCUGUGCCCAGAGUUCUCCUAAGGAAUGGGCCAUGGCUGAGGACUAAAGACACAGUGGAUUAGUGCUGAGGCAGGAGGCUUUUUAAAAACUCUGUGUAAAAGACUUAUUCUGAGCCCUCUGUUGCAAGCAUAUUAAAAUCGUCUCAGUGUUCAGAAUGAGGAUGAAGUGCUGG
Molecule: long non-coding RNA, 819 nt
Filed under: Homo sapiens (human)
Lineage: Eukaryota; Metazoa; Chordata; Mammalia; Primates; Hominidae
Description: HSALNT0158484
Source: RNAcentral